GAUGAACGCUGGCGGCGUGCCUAACACAUGCAAGUCGAGCGAAGCAUACAGAAUGAAGUUUUCGGAUGGAUUUCUGUAUGACUGAGCGGCGGACGGGUGAGUAACGCGUGGGUAACCUGCCUUAUACAGGGGGAUAACAGUUAGAAAUGACUGCUAAUACCGCAUAAGCGCACAGUACCGCAUGGUAGUGUGUGAAAAACUCCGGUGGUAUAAGAUGGACCCGCGUCUGAUUAGCCAGUUGGCGGGGUAACGGCCCACCAAAGCGACGAUCAGUAGCCGACCUGAGAGGGUGACCGGCCACAUUGGGACUGAGACACGGCCCAAACUCCUACGGGAGGCAGCAGUGGGGAAUAUUGCACAAUGGGGGAAACCCUGAUGCAGCAACGCCGCGUGAGUGAAGAAGUAUUUCGGUAUGUAAAGCUCUAUCAGCAGGGAAGAAGAUGACGGUACCUGAUUAAGAAGCCCCGGCUAACUACGUGCCAGCAGCCGCGGUAAUACGUAGGGGGCAAGCGUUAUCCGGAUUUACUGGGUGUAAAGGGAGCGCAGACGGCAGUGCAAGUCUGGAGUGAAAGCCCGGGGCCCAACCCCGGAACUGCUCUGGAAACUGUGCGGCUAGAGUACUGGAGGGGCAGGCGGAAUUCCUAGUGUAGCGGUGAAAUGCGUAGAUAUUAGGAGGAACACCAGUGGCAAAGGCGGCCUGCUGGACAGUAACUGACGUUGAGGCUCGAAAGCGUGGGGAGCAAACAGGCUUAGAUACCGUGGUAGUCCACGCCGUAAACGAUGAAUGCUAGGUGUCGGGGAGCAAAGCUUCCCGGUGCCGCCGCAAACGCAUUAAACAUUCCACAUGGGGAGUAUGUUCGCAAGAAUGAAACUCAAAGGAAUUGACGCGGACCCGCACAAGCGGUGGAGCAUGUGGUUUAAUUCGAAGCAACGCGAAGAACCUUACCAAGUCUUGACAUCCCCCUGACCGGACCGUAACGGGUCCUUCCCUUCGGGGCAGGGGAGACAGGUGGUGCAUGGUUGUCGUCAGCUCGUGUCGUGAGAUGUUGGGUUAAGUCCCGCAACGAGCGCAACCCCUAUCCCCAGUAGCCAGCAGUAAGAUGGGCACUUUGUGGAGACUGCCAGGGACAACCUGGAGGAAGGCGGGGAUGACGUCAUAAUCAUACAUGCCCACUUAUGAUAUUGGGUCUACACAUCGUGCUGACAAUGGACGUAAACAGCAGGGAGGCGAACGGAGCGAUCCGGAGCAAACCCCAGAAAUAACGUCCCAGUUCGGAUUGCAGGCUGCAACCCGCCUGCAUGAAGCUGGAAUCACUAGUAAUCGCGGAUCAGAAUGCCGCGGUG
Molecule: ribosomal RNA, 1344 nt
Filed under: uncultured bacterium
Lineage: Bacteria
Description: bacterial SSU rRNA
Rfam family: Bacterial small subunit ribosomal RNA
Source: RNAcentral